RNAcentral lists this microRNA precursor (143 nucleotides) under Theobroma cacao (cacao). Lineage: Eukaryota; Viridiplantae; Streptophyta; Magnoliopsida; Malvales; Malvaceae. The record is from RNAcentral.
UAGUCACUACGAUGUUGGCUCGGUUCACUCAGACAAAAUCAACCCUACGCUUCUCAAGCACACACACACAAAAAAAAGAGCUUUAGAUUUUGCGUAUCUUCCAUGUGUUUUGAUUGAGCCGUGCCAAUAUCCUAGUGCCUUUU